Molecule: ribosomal RNA, 459 nt
Filed under: uncultured bacterium
Lineage: Bacteria
Description: bacterial SSU rRNA
Rfam family: Bacterial small subunit ribosomal RNA
Source: RNAcentral
AUUGAACGCUGGCGGCAGGCCUAACACAUGCAAGUCGAGCGGAUGAAGGGGGCUUGCUCCUGGAUUCAGCGGCGGACGGGUGAGUAAUGCGCAGGAAUCUACCUAGUAGUGGGGGAUAACGUUUCGAAAGGGACGCUAAUACCGCAUACGUUCUGAGGAAGAAAGCAGGGGAUCGUAAGACCUUGCGCUAUUAGAUGAGCUUGCGUCCGAUUAGCUAGUUGGUGGGGUAAAGGCCUACCAAGGCGACGAUCGGUAACUGGUCUGAGAGGAUGAUCAGUCACACUGGAACUGAGACACGGUCCAGACUCCUACGGGAGGCAGCAGUGGGGAAUAUUGGACAAUGGGGGCAACCUUGAUCCAGCCAUGCCGCGUGUGUGAAGAAGGCCUUCGGUUGUAAAGCACUUUCACCGACUGAAGAUAAUGACGGUAGUCGGAGAAGAAGCCCCGGCUAACUUCGUG